RNAcentral lists this transfer RNA (91 nucleotides) under Nocardia macrotermitis. Its description in RNAcentral is "tRNA-Ser". Lineage: Bacteria; Bacillati; Actinomycetota; Actinomycetes; Mycobacteriales; Nocardiaceae. The record is from RNAcentral.
CGACAGUUAGACCCGGAAUGUGGUCUCGACCUCUACUUGAGGUCGAGAAACACGCGGUGCGCGGAGUUUGGUUCCAUGCCUGUGCUGCCGA